GUCGUUACGCCUCGGGGAAAAGGAAGCGGACGGGACCGUGAAUCGCCGGCUCUGGCUUUUUAUUUUUCUGCUGACAGGAUUGGGUCACUGGUUCUUCGUCUUUUGUCUGUUGCCCGCAUCCUGCCCUCCCCUUUUGCUGCCCCACUCCUCGGAUCCGUCCUCUGGGCGUUCACGCCAGUUCUCUCACCCCGCCGUGAGCCCCUCCUGGUCCCGGGGCGGGCCUGGCACGGAGGCGGUAACUACGGAGAAUAUGGCGGAGGAGGAGCUGCUGCCCCAGGAGAAGGAGGAGGUGGAGGGGGCCCAGGGCCAGGUCCCGACCCCGGCCCUGGAUUCGGCUCCGGCCUCGGCCCCGGCACCGGACUCGGCUCCAGCGCCGGCCUCGGCUCCCGUCCCAGCCCCUGCCCUGGCCCAGGCUCCGGCCCUGUCCCCGUCCCUAGCCUCUGCCCCUGACGAGGCUGAAAGCAAUGGUCUAGUUAGUCCUUUGAAGUCAGUCUUAACUAGGCAAGAUGAAGAUGGCAUAUCUGAAACAGAAUUGAAAAUUGAGGAAAAAGAAGUUUUAAAAGAACCUCCUAGCAUCUUGGACUCAUCUGAUUUAACAAAAGAGAGACACAUCUCAAUUCAAAGGCAGCUUGCUGAUCUAGAGAAGUUAGCUUUUGUAACUGAAGGAGAUUUUGAUUCUACCAGUUCAUUGAACUCCAAUAAUCUUGAUACAGGAAACAAGCAGAUCUGUCCAUUGUGCCCAAAGGAAAAAUUCAGAGCUUGUAAUAGCCAUAAGCUUCAUCGUCACCUUCAAAAUUUACACUGGAAAGUCUCAGUUGAAUUUGAAGGUUACAGAAUGUGCAUCUGUCACUUACCUUGUCGACCAGUGAAACCAAACAUUAUUGGAGAACAGUUAUCCAGUAAAAUGGGCGCCCAUUAUCAUUGUAUCAUUUGCUCGGCAACAAUCACCAGAAGGACCGAUAUGCUAGGACAUGUUAAGCGCCAUGUGAAUAAAGGAGAGACCAAAUCCAGGUAUAUUGCAGCUUCCGCUGCUAAACCACCAAAUGAAAUUUUGAAAGAGGCAGACACAGAUGUACAAGUGUGUCCUAACUAUUCUGUGCCACAGAAAACAGAUUCCUAUUUUAAUCCCAAAAUGAAACUAAAUCGGCAGCUAAUAUUCUGUACACUGGCUGCUUUGGCUGAGGAACGAAAACCUUUGGAAUGUCUAGAUGCCUUUGGAGCUACUGGGAUAAUGGGACUGCAGUGGGCAAAACAUCUCGGAAAUGCGGUCAAGGUCACAAUUAAUGAUUUGAAUGAAAACUCUGUGACGUUGAUUCAGGAGAACUGCCAUUUAAACAAAUUGAAAGUAGUGGUGGACAGUAAGGAAAAGGAAGAGAGUGAUGAUAUUCUUGAAGAAGGAGAGGAGAACCUUGGUAAUGUAAAAGUGACCAAAAUGGAUGCCAAUGUACUGAUGCAUUUGAGGUCUUUUGAUUUCAUACACCUAGACCCUUUUGGAACAUCAGUGAACUAUCUAGAUUCUGCGUUCAGAAAUAUAAGAAACCUUGGCAUAGUGUCAGUGACGUCUACAGAUAUCAGUUCCUUAUAUGCCAAGGCACAACAUGUUGCCCGGCGUCACUACGGCUGUAACAUCGUCCGAACUGAAUAUUACAAGGAGCUGGCAGCCAGAAUUGUUGUAGCUGCAGUGGCAAGAGCUGCAGCUCGAUGUAACAAAGGCAUAGAGGUGCUAUUUGCAGUGGCUCUGGAACAUUUUGUGUUGGUUGUUGUGAGAGUUUUGAGGGGACCUACUUCUGCAGAUGAAACAGCCAAGAAGAUUCAGUACCUAAUCCAUUGUCAGUGGUGUGAAGAGAGAAUUUUUCAGAAGGAUGGUAAUAUGGUAGAAGAAAACCCAUAUAAACAGCUACCGUGUAACUGUUAUGGCAGCAUGCCUGGAAAGACAGCAAUAGAACUUGGACCUCUAUGGUCGAGUUCCCUUUUCAAUACUGGAUUCCUCAAAAGAAUGCUGUUUGAAUCUCUUCACCAUGGUUUAGAUGACAUUCAGACCCUAAUAAAGACAUUAAUCUUUGAGUCAGAGUGCACUCCUCAAAGUCAGUUUUCAGUUCGCGCACCUUGAAAUCUCAACAAGCAAGAUAACUAAUUGAAUACUCAUUUACUAGCUUACAAAUUAGUUAUGAAAAAUACUCCAUGUUCUUAUCUUUAUUUGAUGUUAUGAUCAAAAGCAGUAUAAGUAGUGUGCUUUAACUAAAUCCUCUUUAAUGUCUGAUCAUAAUCUGGUUAACUUUUAUUGAAUCAUAGUUUUCUUCCGGUUUAUAUUUGGGACAAGAAGUGAAUAAUGCUUUUAUUAAAAUAGAUGUAUUUUUAAAUUUUAGCAGAUGAAAAGAAGGCUGUUGCGAUUUUAUUAACCUAUAUCUGCUUUCUAGAAAGAGAAACCAUAGGUAUUUCUGAGGAUAGUGUGGCCAAAAAUUUUGUAAUAUCUGUUGAGACAUAGAAGGUAGAUGUACACUUAUAACUUAGUAAAGCUAACUUUUUUCUUUUUUUUUUUAAGUAUAAAUAGGCUUUUAUAUUAUAGUUUUAUCUGGCUAUUGAUGUACGGGUGGGCCUAUUAAUCAUCCUAGCAUUCUCAUGUCAUCAGAAGGAGCAGUUCUUAUUGGAGGAAGAAUGUGGAGUACUUAAAACUACAGAUGAUACCACAACAGAAAACCAUGUUGCACAAGGAAAGAGAAAAAGUAAUGAAGCAAUCACAAAUUUAGCCAAGAAGCAAAAGACCGAUGUCAGUACUGAACAUCCUCCCUUCUAUUAUAACAUCCACAGACACAGCAUUAAAGGAAUGAAUAUGCCAAAGUUAAAAAAGUUUUUGUGCUAUCUUUCUCAAGCAGGCUUUCGAGUAAGCCGAACUCAUUUUGACCCAAUGGGUGUUCGUACAGAUGCACCUCUAAUGCAGUUUAAAUCUAUCCUUUUAAAGUACAGCACUCCCACUUACACCGGAGGACAGUCGGAGGGCCAUGUUCAAUCAGCAGCUGAAGAUACAGUAGCUAACAGGGUUGAAAUGUCAGUGAAUGACAAAGCAGAAGCAAGUGGUUGCAGAAGAUGGUAAAUGUAAAGAAAAAUUUAUUCCCAGAUGUCUGAAUUAAUGGCCUAAUAGUUCUCUAUACCAGCUGUAGUGCUUUUUCUAUUCUUUCAAUUCAGUGGUGUAAAAAUAAAAAAACAGUGCUGUUUUCAUUCAGAAAAUUAGCAGUUUCUAACUUAGCUGGCUUGGGAACUAUGCUUUCCAAGUUUUUAUUUUAAAGAAAACUUCAAAUUUUAGUAAAACAUUACAUAUGAAGCCAAGUUUAUGACUGAGAUCACCCUACUGUUUAAAAUAACUCAAAAAAUUUUCAAAUGCAAAGUGUUUGGAAUUUUAUGUACGUUAAUGUGUUAGGACAUCCUUUAUUUAAUCUCAUCUCAAACUGAUUUGUGCUGUUUAUAUUUUUUUGUUUGUAGUGUGUAAGAUUAAGCCAGAGCCUUUUAUUAAAAUGACCCUAAAUUGAAUAUUGGAGGAACAAAGUCCUUUUAAGUCACUAAUGGACUAUUUCACAAUUACAAGCUAAAAUAUGUUCCUGAUUUUAAGAAAUCAUACCUCAUACAUUGAUCUUUUAAUUUAUUACUAGUUUUUGAGAAAUUAAAUACUUGCCUAAGAUAGAAAUACAUUUUUCUUUUAAGUUUAACAUCUAGUUAACCGAACUUCAGAGUAAGAUUUUGUUAAAUUGAGACCAUUGUUCUAAUAUAAUAAUGGUUCACAAGCACUAAAUUCUGAAGAGGAGAAAUUUUGUUAUGAAUUAAACAGGUUGGGUGAUCUCAAAUGUUUUCAGUUAAUGCACGUACAAUAUUCAUUUGCUUGGUUGUGCUACCUCUCAGGAGUAAAAUUUAAGAAAUUUAUGAAGUGAGAAUUUUUUUGGUUUUAGAGUGGUUUGUUUUGUGUUUGAUUUUUGGUGUGUGUAUGUGCUAGGUUUUGUAUAAGUAGCCCAGGCUAAUAUGACUAUGAAAAUUAGUUGCAAAAAAUCUUGUUUCCAUUAAUAAAUAUUGUUCUUGCUUUAUCUGAAUAUAAAAAUUUGGAUGAAAAUA
This is a non-coding RNA of Sus scrofa (pig), 4098 nucleotides long. The record is from RefSeq and is a predicted model, not a curated record. NCBI's taxonomy places the organism in Eukaryota, Metazoa, Chordata, Mammalia, Artiodactyla, Suidae.